RNAcentral lists this ribosomal RNA (400 nucleotides) under uncultured bacterium. RNAcentral's name for it is "bacterial SSU rRNA". It matches the Rfam family "Bacterial small subunit ribosomal RNA", at positions 356 to 773 of the family's 1533-position model. The record is from RNAcentral.
GGGGAAUAUUGCACAAUGGGGGAAACCCUGAUGCAGCGACGCCGCGUGGAGGAAGAAGGUCUUCGGAUUGUAAACUCCUGUUGUUGAGGAAGAUAAUGACGGUACUCAACAAGGAAGUGACGGCUAACUACGUGCCAGCAGCCGCGGUAAAACGUAGGUCACAAGCGUUGUCCGGAAUUACUGGGUGUAAAGGGAGCGCAGGCGGGAAGACAAGUUGGAAGUGAGAUCUAUGGGCUCAACCCAUAAACUGCUUUCAAAACUGUUUUUCUUGAGUAGUGCAGAGGUAGGCGGAAUUCCCGGUGUAGCGGUGGAAUGCGUAGAUAUCGGGAGGAACACCAGUGGCGAAGGCGGCCUACUGGGCACCAACUGACGCUGAGGCUCGAAAGUGUGGGUAGCAAAC